Molecule: transfer RNA, 67 nt
Filed under: Pseudomyrmex gracilis
Lineage: Eukaryota; Metazoa; Arthropoda; Insecta; Hymenoptera; Formicidae
Description: tRNA-Asn
Source: RNAcentral
UUAACUGAAACCAAAUUAGAGGUAAUUUAUUGUUAAUAAAUUAAUUGAAUUAUUUAUUCCUGUUAAU